GGAGUUAGCCGGUGCUUCUUCUGUGAGUGAUGUCCUUCCUGCCGGCUAUUAACCCGCAGGCCUUCUUCCUCACUGAAAGUGCUUUACAACCCGAAGGCCUUCUUCACACACGCGGCAUGGCUGGAUCAGGGUUGCCCCCAUUGUCCAAUAUUCCCCACUGCUGCCUCCCGUAGGAGUCUGGGCCGUGUCUCAGUCCCAGUGUGGCUGAUCAUCCUCUCAGACCAGCUACGGAUCGUCGCCUUGGUGAGCCGUUACCUCACCAACCAGCUAAUCCGACAUAGGCUCAUCCGAUAGCGCGAGGCCCGAAGGUCCCCCGCUUUCCCCCGUAGGGCGUAUGCGGUAUUAGCCUGGGUUUCCCCAGGUUAUCCCCCACUACCGGGCAGAUUCCUAUGCAUUACUCACCCGUCCGCCGCUCGCCACCAGGGAGCAAGCUCCCCGUGCUGCCGCUCGACUUGCAUGUGUUAGGCCUGCCGCCACGCGUCAUCUGAGCCAGAAUACAACUACUGA
This 507-nucleotide ribosomal RNA is filed under the name uncultured bacterium. Its description in RNAcentral is "partial 16S ribosomal RNA". The record is from RNAcentral.